Molecule: ribosomal RNA, 448 nt
Filed under: uncultured bacterium
Lineage: Bacteria
Description: bacterial SSU rRNA
Rfam family: Bacterial small subunit ribosomal RNA
Source: RNAcentral
CCCAGACUCCUACGGGAGGCAGCAGUGGGGAAUAUUGCACAAUGGGGGAAACCCUGAUGCAGCGACGCCGCGUGAGCGAAGAAGUAUUUCGGUAUGUAAAGCUCUAUCAGCAGGGAAGAAAAUGACGGUACCUGACUAAGAAGCCCCGGCUAACUACGUGCCAGCAGCCGCGGUAAUACGUAGGGGGCAAGCGUUAUCCGGAUUCACUGGGUGUAAAGGGAGCGUAGACGGCGAGACAAGUCUGGAGUGAAAUGCCGCAGCUUAACUGCGGAACUGCUUUGGAAACUGGCGAACUAGAGUGCGGGAGGGGUAAGCGGAAUUCCUAGUGUAGCGGUGAAAUGCGUAGAUAUUAGGAGGAACACCAGUGGCGAAGGCGGUUUACUGGACUGUAACUGACGUUGAGGCUCGAAAGCGUGGGGAGCAAACAGGAUUAGAUACCCCCGUACGU